Molecule: transfer RNA, 87 nt
Filed under: Holosporales bacterium
Lineage: Bacteria; Pseudomonadati; Pseudomonadota; Alphaproteobacteria; Holosporales
Description: tRNA-Leu
Rfam family: tRNA
About the family: Transfer RNA (tRNA) molecules are approximately 80 nucleotides in length.
Source: RNAcentral
GCCCUUGUGGUGGAACUGGUAGACGCAGCAGACUCAAAAUCUGCCGCCCGUAAGGGCAUGGGAGUUCGAUUCUCCCCGAGGGCACCA